AGAGUUUGAUCAUGGCUCAGGACGAACGCUGGCGGCAUGCCUAAUACAUGCAAGUCGAACGCUGAAGCACUCUGCUUGCAGAGUGCGGAUGAGUGGCGAACGGGUGAGUAACACGUGGGAAAUCUGCCUAGGAGUGGGGGAUAACAUUCGGAAACGGAUGCUAAUACCGCAUAUCUUCUGGAACCGCAUGGUUCUUGAACGAAAGACGGCUUCGGCUGUCGCUCUUAGAUGAUCCCGCGGCGUAUUAGUUAGUUGGUGGGGUAAAGGCCUACCAAGACAAUGAUACGUAGCCGACCUGAGAGGGUGAUCGGCCACACUGGGACUGAGACACGGCCCAGACUCCUACGGGAGGCAGCAGUAGGGAAUCUUCCACAAUGGACGAAAGUCUGAUGGAGCAAUGCCGCGUGAAUGAAGAAGGUCUUCGGAUCGUAAAGUUCUGUUAUUAGAGAAGAACAAGUCGAGGAGUAACUGUCUCGACUUUGACGGUACCUAACCAGAAAGUCACGGCUAACUACGUGCCAGCAGCCGCGGUAAUACGUAGGUGACGAGCGUUGUCCGGAAUUAUUGGGCGUAAAGGGAGCGCAGGCGGUUGGAAUAGUCUGAUGUGAAAGCCCACGGCUUAACCGUGGAAGGUCAUUGGAAACUGUCCAACUUGAAUGCAGAAGAGGUAAGUGGAAUUCCAAGUGUAGCGGUGAAAUGCGUAGAUAUUUGGAGGAACACCAGUGGCGAAGGCGACUUACUGGUCUGUAAUUGACGCUGAGGCUCGAAAGCGUGGGUAGCAAACAGGAUUAGAUACCCUGGUAGUCC
This 807-nucleotide ribosomal RNA is filed under the name uncultured bacterium. RNAcentral describes it as "bacterial SSU rRNA". It matches the Rfam family "Bacterial small subunit ribosomal RNA", at positions 8 to 796 of the family's 1533-position model. The record is from RNAcentral.